This 305-nucleotide unclassified non-coding RNA is filed under the name fungal sp. RNAcentral describes it as "partial internal transcribed spacer region". The stretch from base 1 to 46 matches the Rfam family "Eukaryotic small subunit ribosomal RNA", at positions 1786 to 1831 of the family's 1831-position model. Lineage: Eukaryota; Fungi. The record is from RNAcentral.
AAGUCGUAACAAGGUUUCCGUAGGUGAACCUGCGGAAGGAUCAUUAAAAAAUCUUUCGAGCCGCAAGGCUCUAUUAUUUUGUGAAGCGUUUGCCGUGUUAUGCGCACGUAGGAGGGAGAGGUGUAAGAAGACAAGGCUUUUAGGCGCAUGCACUCAUGUGUGUGUUGCCUGCUGUUUUGUUGAUGUAUGCAUACUUCUUUCUUCAUGUGCACUCACGAUUAUUAUUAAACAUAUGUCUUUGAUGUUGUUGUCUAUUAUUACACGUUAAUAUAAUACAACUUUCAACAGUGGAUCUCUCGGUUCUU